RNAcentral lists this ribosomal RNA (204 nucleotides) under uncultured bacterium. Its description in RNAcentral is "partial 16S ribosomal RNA". It matches the Rfam family "Bacterial small subunit ribosomal RNA", at positions 573 to 775 of the family's 1533-position model. The record is from RNAcentral.
AGGCGGCUCAGUAAGUCGGGUGUGAAACCCCCAGGCUCAACCUGGGGACGCCACCCGAUACUGCUGUGGCUAGAGUACGGUAGAGGGUGGCGGAAUUCCUGGUGUAGCAGUGAAAUGCGUAGAUAUCAGGAGGAACAUCCGUGGCGAAGGCGGCCACCUGGACCAGUACUGACACUGAGGCACGAAAGCGUGGGGAGCAAACAG